UGUACUGAUGAAACUAUUGGGUUGAUGCAAAAGUAAUUGUUGUUUUUGCCAUUGAAAGUAAUGGCAAGACUGCAAUUACUUUUGCACCAACAUAAAUAUUUUUG
This 104-nucleotide microRNA precursor is filed under the name Chlorocebus sabaeus (green monkey). RNAcentral's name for it is "miRNA (ENSCSAG00000021878.1)". The record is from RNAcentral. Lineage: Eukaryota; Metazoa; Chordata; Mammalia; Primates; Cercopithecidae.